GUGCUGGCUUUGGACGAGGAGAUGAGAGAUGGUGGAUCGGUAAUGGAGAAGAGGAAAAGGAGCGAGGGUUUUCUAGAAUCGAGAAGAGGGAGAGGGGGUGGUUUUCCAAUGGGGAAGUGGGAGAGGAACGUGCAGCGAUGGUUUAGGAUUGGACGAGAUGACGGUGCUUUAUGAUUGGACGAUGAAACCGGCUUUGACCGUCAACGCGCUUUGAGUUUUUGUUCUUCUGUUUGAUAACUAAUAACUACAACCGUGGUAGUGGACUACAUGUUGUACGUGAAAGCAUUCUAUGGAUAUUAUUUUUCUGAAUACAAAAAGAGAUAAGGCACUGAAAAAUAAAUAAAAAAGGAAAAAUAGUAUAAACCUGGCACACUUCCUUUGUUUCACACCUAGUACCCAUGAAAUUUUUGAAACUUGGGAUACAGUAAAUGAUUCAAA
This 438-nucleotide long non-coding RNA is filed under the name Hordeum vulgare. RNAcentral's name for it is "long non-coding RNA (HVUL_LNC005890)". The record is from RNAcentral. Lineage: Eukaryota; Viridiplantae; Streptophyta; Magnoliopsida; Poales; Poaceae.